UGGGGAAUUUUGGACAAUGGGGGAAACCCUGAUCCAGCCAUUCCGCGUGAGUGAAGAAGGCCUUCGGGUUGUAAAGCUCUUUCGGCAGGAACGAAACGGUUUGCCCUAAUACGGUGAGCUAAUGACGGUACCUGAAGAAGAAGCACCGGCUAACUACGUGCCAGCAGCCGCGGUAAUACGUAGGGUGCGAGCGUUAAUCGGAAUUACUGGGCGUAAAGCGUGCGCAGGCGGUUAUGUAAGACAGAUGUGAAAUCCCCGGGCUUAACCUGGGAACUGCGUUUGUGACUGCAUAACUUGAGUGUGGCAGAGGGGGGUGGAAUUCCACGUGUAGCAGUGAAAUGCGUAGAGAUGUGGAGGAACACCGAUGGCGAAGGCAGCCCCCUGGGUCAACACUGACGCU
This 400-nucleotide ribosomal RNA is filed under the name uncultured bacterium. RNAcentral's name for it is "bacterial SSU rRNA". It matches the Rfam family "Bacterial small subunit ribosomal RNA", at positions 355 to 747 of the family's 1533-position model. The record is from RNAcentral.